Molecule: ribosomal RNA, 253 nt
Filed under: uncultured bacterium
Lineage: Bacteria
Description: partial 16S ribosomal RNA
Rfam family: Bacterial small subunit ribosomal RNA
Source: RNAcentral
UACGGGGGGGGCAAGCGUUGUUCGGGAUUACUGGGCGUAAAGGGCUCGUAGGUGGCCAACUAAGUCAGACGUGAAAUCCCUCAGCUUAACUGGGGAACUGCGUCUGAUACUGGAUGGCUUGAGUUUGGGAGAGGGAUGCGGAAUUCCAGGUGUAGCGGUGAAAUGCGUAGAUAUCUGGAGGAACACCGGUGGCGAAGGCGGCAUCCUGGACCAACACUGACACUGAUGAGCGAAAGCCAGGGGAGCAAACGGG